GAUGAACGCUGGCGGCGUGCCUAACACAUGCAAGUUGAGCGAUCUUCUUCGGAAGAGAGCGGCGGACGGGUGAGUAACGCGUGGGUAACCUACCCUGUACACACGGAUAACAUACCGAAAGGUAUGCUAAUACGAGAUAAUAUAUUUCAUUCGCAUGUUUGAAAUAUCAAAGCUCCGGCGGUACAGGAUGGACCCGCGUCUGAUUAGCUAGUUGGUGAGGUAACGGCUCACCAAGGCGACGAUCAGUAGCCGACCUGAGAGGGUGAUCGGCCACAUUGGGAACUGAGACACGGUCCAAACUCCUACGGGGGGCAGCAGUGAGGAAUAUUGGUCAAUGGGCGUAAGCCUGAACCAGCCAAGUCGCGUGAGGGAUGAAGGUUCUAUGGAUCGUAAACCUCUUUUAUAAGGGAAUAAAGUGCGGGACGUGUCCCGUUUUGUAUGUACCUUAUGAAUAAGGAUCGGGCUAACUCCGUGCCAGCAGCCGCAGUAA
Molecule: ribosomal RNA, 490 nt
Filed under: uncultured bacterium
Lineage: Bacteria
Description: bacterial SSU rRNA
Rfam family: Bacterial small subunit ribosomal RNA
Source: RNAcentral